RNAcentral lists this unclassified non-coding RNA (474 nucleotides) under Melitaea cinxia (Glanville fritillary). Its description in RNAcentral is "misc RNA ENSMCXG00005016206.1". The record is from RNAcentral. Lineage: Eukaryota; Metazoa; Arthropoda; Insecta; Lepidoptera; Nymphalidae.
UCAUGCCGUUCAUUUUCUUAUACUCAUUCACCUCUAAAAAUAUUAUGACCACAUCCCUAUUUGCGUCAUAAAAAAAGAUAUUAAAAUGUCAUUUUUGAAAAUAUUAAUUAUCUGUACGCUCGAAAUCCGUAUUUUAAUAAUUUUUAUGUGUUUAAAAUGAUAAAUUGAUAUUUGUUUUUAGUGAAAUAAAUAGUAAAUGGAGUUUUACAAGUGUCCGUAAGCUAAUGUGUUGUAAAAGUGAGUGAUAAAUGCGGAAAAAACGUGAAUUACGAUUGACAGGGGUUUGUUUACCAACUAAGACUCUUCCAAAAAACGGAAUAUACAAUAAAACGUCACUCAACCGACAACCGGUUCGCAGUGCGCACUGCGCACCGCGCCGCGUGACCGCACCAAUACCGAUAGCAGUGAUGUGCAGCGGUGUUGACGCGAACGAAAAGGACACUAUCGUACUAAUCUCUCACCAUCGAAAUUGGG